GGAUUUGUAGACUGAAUUUUAGAUGACAAUUUAAUUGGAUUAAGGAAUACCUACACACCUGGUAAAGCAUUAUUUUGGAUUACAUUUGAAGGACCUGUCGCACAAAGUCAUUAGACCACAGAGAAAGUCUGAGACUUCCAGGUAUCCUGUCUGCUAACUUUCUGCUACUUCCAUUCAGCCAGGGCUAAUGAUGUCCCUACUAAGCUUCCUUCAAGUACAUUACUCUUUACUUCACACAUGAAGGAGAUGACCUCCAAAUGAAUUUAAUGGUGAUAUAAGAAAAUCCAUGUC
Molecule: non-coding RNA, 291 nt
Organism: Microcebus murinus (gray mouse lemur)
Lineage: Eukaryota; Metazoa; Chordata; Mammalia; Primates; Cheirogaleidae
Source: RefSeq, a predicted model, not a curated record